GGGGGAGUAGCUCAAUUGGUAGAGCAACGCACUUUUAAUGCGUAGGUUCCGGGUUCGAGUCCCGGCUCCCUCA
Molecule: transfer RNA, 73 nt
Filed under: Planctomycetes bacterium ADurb.Bin126
Lineage: Bacteria; Pseudomonadati; Planctomycetota
Also listed under: 1 other name
Description: tRNA-Lys
Rfam family: tRNA
About the family: Transfer RNA (tRNA) molecules are approximately 80 nucleotides in length. Their secondary structure includes four short double-helical elements and three loops (D, anti-codon, and T loops).
Source: RNAcentral